AGAGUUUGAUCAUGGCUCAGGAUGAACGCUAGCGGGAGGCCUAACACAUGCAAGCCGAGCGGUAGAGAUCUUUCGGGAUCUUGAGAGCGGCGUACGGGUGCGGAACACGUGUGCAACCUGCCUUUAUCAGGGGGAUAGCCUUUCGAAAGGAAGAUUAAUACCCCAUAAUAUAUUGAAUGGCAUCAUUUGAUAUUGAAAACUCCGGUGGAUAGAGAUGGGCACGCGCAAGAUUAGAUAGUUGGUAGGGUAACGGCCUACCAAGUCAGUGAUCUUUAGGGGGCCUGAGAGGGUGAUCCCCCACACUGGUACUGAGACACGGACCAGACUCCUACGGGAGGCAGCAGUGAGGAAUAUUGGACAAUGGGUGAGAGCCUGAUCCAGCCAUCCCGCGUGAAGGACGACGGCCCUAUGGGUUGUAAACUUCUUUUGUAUAGGGAUAAACCUACUCUCGUGAGAGUAGCUGAAGGUACUAUACGAAUAAGCACCGGCUAACUCCGUGCCAGCAGCCGCGGUAAUACGGAGGGUGCAAGCGUUAUCCGGAUUUAUUGGGUUUAAAGGGUCCGUAGGCGGAUCUGUAAGUCAGUGGUGAAAUCUCAUAGCUUAACUAUGAAACUGCCAUUGAUACUGCAGGUCUUGAGUAAAGUAGAAGUGGCUGGAAUAAGUAGUGUAGCGGUGAAAUGCAUAGAUAUUACUUAGAACACCAAUUGCGAAGGCAGGUCACUA
This 723-nucleotide ribosomal RNA is filed under the name uncultured Chryseobacterium sp. RNAcentral describes it as "bacterial SSU rRNA". It matches the Rfam family "Bacterial small subunit ribosomal RNA", at positions 8 to 731 of the family's 1533-position model. The record is from RNAcentral. Lineage: Bacteria; Pseudomonadati; Bacteroidota; Flavobacteriia; Flavobacteriales; Weeksellaceae.